GAGGGUGUAGCUCAGCGGUAGAGUGUGUGUGCUCAGCAACCACAAGGUCCUGGGUUUGAUCCCCAGUACCUCCG
This 74-nucleotide transfer RNA is filed under the name Camelus bactrianus (Bactrian camel). It matches the Rfam family "tRNA". From Rfam's summary of the family: Transfer RNA (tRNA) molecules are approximately 80 nucleotides in length. RNAcentral also lists the same sequence under 1 other name. The record is from Rfam by way of RNAcentral. Lineage: Eukaryota; Metazoa; Chordata; Mammalia; Artiodactyla; Camelidae.